AGAGUUUGAUCCUGGCUCAGGAUGAACGCUGGCGGCGUGCCUAAUACAUGCAAGUCGAGCGAACGGACGAGAAGCUUGCUUCUCUGAUGUUAGCGGCGGACGGGUGAGUAACACGUGGAUAACCUACCUAUAAGACUGGGAUAACUUCGGGAAACCGGAGCUAAUACCGGAUAAUAUUUUGAACCGCAUGGUUCAAAAGUGAAAGACGGUCUUGCUGUCACUUAUAGAUGGAUCCGCGCUGCAUUAGCUAGUUGGUAAGGUAACGGCUUACCAAGGCAACGAUGCAUAGCCGACCUGAGAGGGUGAUCGGCCACACUGGAACUGAGACACGGUCCAGACUCCUACGGGAGGCAGCAGUAGGGAAUCUUCCGCAAUGGGCGAAAGCCUGACGGAGCAACGCCGCGUGAGUGAUGAAGGUCUUCGGAUCGUAAAACUCUGUUAUUAGGGAAGAACAUAUGUGUAAGUAACUGUGCACAUCUUGACGGUACCUAAUCAGAAAGCCACGGCUAACUACGUGCCAGCAGCCGCGGUAAUACGUAGGUGGCAAGCGUUAUCCGGAAUUAUUGGGCGUAAAGCGCGCGUAGGCGGUUUUUUAAGUCUGAUGUGAAAGCCCACGGCUCAACCGUGGAGGGUCAUUGGAAACUGGAAAACUUGAGUGCAGAAGAGGAAAGUGGAAUUCCAUGUGUAGCGGUGAAAUGCGCAGAGAUAUGGAGGAACACCAGUGGCGAAGGCGACUUUCUGGUCUGUAACUGACGCUGAUGUGCGAAAGCGUGGGGAUCAAACAGGAUUAGAUACCCUGGUAGUCCACGCCGUAAACGAUGAGUGCUAAGUGUUAGGGGGUUUCCGCCCCUUAGUGCUGCAGCUAACGCAUUAAGCACUCCGCCUGGGGAGUACGACCGCAAGGUUGAAACUCAAAGGAAUUGACGGGGACCCGCACAAGCGGUGGAGCAUGUGGUUUAAUUCGAAGCAACGCGAAGAACCUUACCAAAUCUUGACAUCCUUUGACAACUCUAGAGAUAGAGCUUUCCCCUUCGGGGACAAAGUGACAGGUGGUGCAUGGUUGUCGUCAGCUCGUGUCGUGAGAUGUUGGGUUAAGUCCCGCAACGAGCGCAACCCUUAAGCUUAGUUGCCAUCAUUAAGUUGGGCACUCUAAGUUGACUGCCGGUGACAAACCGGAGGAAGGUGGGGAUGACGUCAAAUCAUCAUGCCCCUUAUGAUUUGGGCUACACACGUGCUACAAUGGACAAUACAAAGGGCAGCGAAACCGUGAGGUCAAGCAAAUCCCAUAAAGUUGUUCUCAGUUCGGAUUGUAGUCUGCAACUCGACUACAUGAAGCUGGAAUCGCUAGUAAUCGUAGAUCAGCAUGCUACGGUGAAUACGUUCCCGGGUCUUGUACACACCGCCCGUCACACCACGAGAGUUUGUAACACCCGAAGCCGGUGGAGUAACCUUUUAGGAGCUAGCCGUCGAAGGUGGGACAAAUGAUUGGGGUGAAGUCGUAACAAGGUAGCCGUAUCGGAAGGUGCGGCUGGAUCACCU
RNAcentral lists this ribosomal RNA (1539 nucleotides) under Staphylococcus aureus. RNAcentral describes it as "bacterial SSU rRNA". It matches the Rfam family "Bacterial small subunit ribosomal RNA". The record is from RNAcentral. Lineage: Bacteria; Bacillati; Bacillota; Bacilli; Caryophanales; Staphylococcaceae.